UACGGAGGUGGCAAGCGUUGCUCGGAAUUACUGGGCGUAAAGGGCUCGUAGGCGGCCAACUAAGUCAGACGUGAAAUCCCUCGGCUUAACCGGGGAACUGCGUCUGAUACUGGAUGGCUUGAGAUUGGGAGAGGGAUGCGGAAUUCCAGGUGUAGCGGUGAAAUGCGUAGAUAUCGGGAGGAACACCGGUGGCGAAGGCGGUUCUCUGGGCCUGACCUGACGCUGAGGAGCGAAAGCGUGGGGAGCGAACAGG
RNAcentral lists this ribosomal RNA (253 nucleotides) under uncultured bacterium. RNAcentral's name for it is "partial 16S ribosomal RNA". It matches the Rfam family "Bacterial small subunit ribosomal RNA", at positions 524 to 776 of the family's 1533-position model. The record is from RNAcentral.